This 521-nucleotide long non-coding RNA is filed under the name Gallus gallus (chicken). RNAcentral describes it as "lncRNA (ENSGALG00010006632.1)". The record is from RNAcentral. Lineage: Eukaryota; Metazoa; Chordata; Aves; Galliformes; Phasianidae.
GGCAGGCGCGUGGUGCGGUCAGCACGGGCUGCGUUGGGCCUUGAGCAUCACUGUGAGGCAGAGCCUCAAGGCACAUAAAUGAACUGGAGGGAGACAAGAUGAAAGGAGAACUGAUUCCAAUUUCAUAUUUAAUUUUUUAGCUGGUGAAUGAGAUAAUGUGCUGAUCAUCUUUCCAGCUGGAAUGCUCUUUUACUGGUUUAAUGAGGGUCAUAGGAUUUUUUUUUUUCCUCAUAGCUCUUAUGUUUGACUUUCAAAUAAAGCAAAUGUAGUAAUAUGUUGAUUGUUUUCUUCUGCUUUUCUUUUUUGUUCUUCCCUUGCAAGCCCUGUGGGAUCACCACUUCAGUAUUCCAGAAGGAAGCAAUGGAAGACUUGUUACCUGUGAACAGACUUGUCCUAUGAACUAUUACAGCACUAUCAGUUGCCAACUCUCAGCCUUACUAAUACAAGACUGUUCCCUUUGAGCUGACAGCCUUGGAGGAAGCACCACUGACAUUUUAGAACCCAGGACUGUGUCCCUCGGG